ACGGGUGAGUAACACGUGGGAAAUCUGCCCUGCACUCUGGGACAAGCCUUGGAAACGAGGUCUAAUACCGGAUAUGACCUUCCCUCGCAUGGGGGUUGGUGGAAAGCUCCGGCGGUGCAGGAUGGUCCCGCGGCCUAUCAGCUUGUUGGUGGGGUAAUGGCCUACCAAGGCGACGACGGGUAGCCGGCCUGAGAGGGCGACCGGCCACACUGGGACUGAGACACGGCCCAGACUCCUACGGGAGGCAGCAGUGGGGAAUAUUGCACAAUGGGCGAAAGCCUGAUGCAGCGACGCCGCGUGAGGGAUGACGGCCUUCGGGUUGUAAACCUCUUUCAGCAGGGAAGAAGCGCAAGUGACGGUACCUGCAGAAGAAGCACCGGCUAACUACGUGCCAGCAGCCGCGGUAAUACGUAGGGUGCGAGCGUUGUCCGGAAUUAUUGGGCGUAAAGAGCUCGUAGGCGGCCUGUCGCGUCGGAUGUGAAAGCCCGGGGCUUAACCCCGGGUCUGCAUUCGAUACGGGCAGGCUAGAGUGUGGUAGGGGAGAUCGGAAUUCCUGGUGUAGCGGUGAAAUGCGCAGA
RNAcentral lists this ribosomal RNA (578 nucleotides) under uncultured bacterium. RNAcentral describes it as "bacterial SSU rRNA". It matches the Rfam family "Bacterial small subunit ribosomal RNA", at positions 102 to 694 of the family's 1533-position model. The record is from RNAcentral.